GGGAGUAUAGCUCAGUUGUAGAGCGCAUGCUUAGCAUGCAUGGUCCUGGGUUCAAUCCCCAGUACUUCCA
Molecule: transfer RNA, 70 nt
Filed under: Camelus bactrianus (Bactrian camel)
Lineage: Eukaryota; Metazoa; Chordata; Mammalia; Artiodactyla; Camelidae
Also listed under: 1 other name
Rfam family: tRNA
About the family: Transfer RNA (tRNA) molecules are approximately 80 nucleotides in length. Their secondary structure includes four short double-helical elements and three loops (D, anti-codon, and T loops).
Source: Rfam by way of RNAcentral